GAGAGCCGUGUGCGGGGAAACUUGCAAGCACGGUUCGUAUGGGGGAGUCGGGAAAAGUGUUGUCGAAAGGCAAUAACUCGUCCGUCUCCUACCUAGC
This 97-nucleotide non-coding RNA is filed under the name Cohnella sp. SGD-V74. The record is from RNAcentral. Lineage: Bacteria; Bacillati; Bacillota; Bacilli; Caryophanales; Paenibacillaceae.